Molecule: long non-coding RNA, 1308 nt
Filed under: Equus asinus (donkey)
Lineage: Eukaryota; Metazoa; Chordata; Mammalia; Perissodactyla; Equidae
Description: lncRNA (ENSEASG00005024281.1)
Source: RNAcentral
GCAAGGGUGCUCUGCAGCCCAGCUUUAGAAGGAGCGCCUGACACAGCCUGGGGGCAAGGAAGAAAAGCCUUCUUGGAGGAAGUGGCAGGGGCAGGUGCUGUGAUAGAUACUGAGGAUGCCAAAGUGAAGACCUCUGUUCCUGCCACCACCUGUAGUCACUCUAAUUGGAAGCAGUGUGAACACACCCUGAGGAAGCCCAGAGGAGGGAAGGAAUGACUCUGCCUGGGUAGGAAGGCUUUCCAGAGGGGGCAACAAUCGAACUGGACCUUCAAAGUUUCAUAGAAUGUCCCUGGCCACUUUCAGGACAGGAAAAGUGUUCUCAGACAACCUCUGGAGGUAUCCAGCACACGGGGAAUCUCUCCAGUGACCCCAUAGCACAUCCCUGGAGCUUCAGCUCAAGAGUUGAGGAAACUGAGAAAUGUCAAAGCUGAGUGAGGACUUGUCCGUGGUCACAUGGCAGCAUUUGAACCCGGGUCCAGUUUACCAUCUUCCAACUCAAGUGCUUGUUCCACUCCUCCAAGCUGCCAGUUUGGCUACUAUAAGGGAAGACAACCCGAGGUAGCAGCUGCACAUGGAAAAGAUGAAAAUGAGAGAAAUGAAGAGUGACGUGGACAGAACUCAAUGAAACCUCUGGAUCAAACCAUGCCUGAAGUCCUGCAUUACUUCUGGAGUUUUCCAUUUCAUUAACCCAUAACUUUACUAUUGCUUAAGGCAAUUUGUGUUUGGUUUUCUGAAUUGCGACUAAAAUCAUCCCAACUAAUAUAUGUUGCUUAUAAUCUUCAUAAACUUUAUUUCUAAAAGCUGCAUAUUAUUUUAUCUUAAUGAUAUAUUUUGUUUAACUACUCUCCUUGUAUUUAGUAUUUAGGUUUAAUAUUGAACUAUUAUUAUUGUCUGUGAUAAACCUGGUAAUGAAAACUUUUUCUGAAUUGCCAAUUCUUUUCUUAGAGUUGAUUCCCAGAAGUGGAAUUACUGGGUUUAUAAUAUUCUUAAGGCUUUUGACAUAUAUUUCCAAUUUGCUUUUUUAAAACAUCACCAGAAAAUAAUGAGGAUGUCUGUUGUGCCCUAUCUUUGUUACCAUUUUUAAUCUUUGCUGUUUUUAGGAUGAAUCAUAUUUCAUUGUUAAGUUUGAUUUUCUUCAAUUACCAAUGAGAGUGAACAUAUUUAUAUCUCUGUUAACAACUUGAAUUUUCUAUUUCUGAAUGUUUAGUCACGUCCCUUGCCUAGUUGGGGAGGACUUUACAGCACACUGAGUUUUGAAAGAAUAACUAGAAUUCUUCAGGUGGGCAAGAGGGGAAGUGCGAUUAAAGA